AUGGGAUUGUGGCACUCCACUCGCCGCCAAUGCGGAAGGAUGCCGCCGAAAAGAAGGGAACGUUGCUUCGCUCUGCUGGAUGCGUCGGAUCUCGUAUAACAAGCGAGCUUUUUACCAUUAAAUUAAAACAUGUGGUCGCAAAAUGCUAUCCAGCUCUCUUGUUGCGUAGCAAUAGAAGCCUGCUCAUGCUGCUUUGGCGGCGCUUUUUCGCCUUCUCUUUGCUCUGGAUAGGAGCGCUAAUGGACACGGGGAGCGAGCAGGCGAAGCGUGUCGUUCGUAAUGAACAGAAAGAGACCACUACUUCGCCUCUUUGUUGGAGCGCCGACGCGAACACAGUGGUAUCUGACCAGGACCAGAAACAGAUUCGAAUUUGGAUCUUGACAUGUUGGUGGUUUUUAACCGUGGGCAUCAUGCCAGGAAGUUGGUGGGCUCAUCAUGAAUUAGGUCGGGGUGGCUGGUGGUUUCGGGAUCCCGUAGAAAAUGCUUCUUUUAUGCCUUGGGUAUUAGCCACAGCUCGUAUUCAUUCCAUAAUUCUACCCCUUCUUUAUUCUUGGAUCUCGUUUCUUAAUAUUGUUACUCUUCCAUGCUGUGUCUCAGGAACCUUUUCAAUACGGUCCGGAUUGCUAGCUUCUGUUCAUAGUUUUGCUACAGAUGAUACACGAGGAAUCUUUUUAUGGAGGUUCUUCCUUCUAAUGACCGGCAUAUCUAUGAUUCUUUUCCCCCAGAUGAAGCAGCAGGCAUCAGUCCGUAGAACUUAUAAAAAAGAGAUGGUUGUGGCGCGAAGUACUCUUGUGCACCUCCGUCACUUGGCUCGCGCGCAACCCCGCCCCGUUAUGUUAUGGAAGAAUUUA
Molecule: non-coding RNA, 851 nt
Organism: Vicia faba (fava bean)
Lineage: Eukaryota; Viridiplantae; Streptophyta; Magnoliopsida; Fabales; Fabaceae
Source: the annotation of a GenBank genome assembly